AGAAUCAACGCUGGCGGCGUGCCUAACACAUGCAAGUCGAACGAGAAAGUGGAGCAAUCCAUGAGUAAAGUGGCGCACGGGUGAGUAACACGUGACUAACCUACCCUGGAGUGGGGGAUAACUGAGGGAAACCUUAGCGUAAUACCGCAUAACACCUACGGGUCAAAGGAGCAAUUCGCUUUAGGAGGGGGUCGCGGCAGAUUAGUUAGUUGGCGGGUAAUGGCCCACAAGACGGUGAUCUGUA
This 244-nucleotide ribosomal RNA is filed under the name uncultured bacterium. RNAcentral's name for it is "partial small subunit ribosomal RNA". It matches the Rfam family "Bacterial small subunit ribosomal RNA", at positions 26 to 285 of the family's 1533-position model. The record is from RNAcentral.